RNAcentral lists this ribosomal RNA (254 nucleotides) under uncultured bacterium. RNAcentral describes it as "partial 16S ribosomal RNA". It matches the Rfam family "Bacterial small subunit ribosomal RNA", at positions 524 to 776 of the family's 1533-position model. The record is from RNAcentral.
UACGGAGGUGCCAAGCGUUAGGCGGAAUCACUGGGCUUAAAGCGUGUGUAGGCGGAUCGUUAAGUACCUUGUGAAAUCCCACGGCUUAACCGUGGAACUGCUCGGUAUACUGGCGGUCUUGAGCAACCUAGGGGGCGAGCGGAACAAAUGGUGGAGCGGUGAAAUGCGUAGAUAUCUGGAGGAACACCGGUGGCGAAGGCGACAUCCUGGACCGGUAUUGACGCUGAGGCGCGAAAGCCAGGGGAGCAAACGGG